Molecule: long non-coding RNA, 1880 nt
Organism: Eriocheir sinensis (Chinese mitten crab)
Lineage: Eukaryota; Metazoa; Arthropoda; Malacostraca; Decapoda; Varunidae
Exons: 3
Source: RefSeq, a predicted model, not a curated record
AGGAGGUAGAGAAGGGAUCAGAGACGGGUGUAUAGAGGAGGAAUAAAGAGAGGAGGUAGAGAAAAUAUUAAAGAAGGGUGUGUGAAAUGGAGAGAUAAAAAGAGGAGGUAGAGAAGGGUGUGUAGAGGGGGGAACAAAGAGAGGAAGUAGAGAAGGGAUCAGAGAAGGGUGUGUAGAGGAGGAAUAAAGAGAGGAGGUAGAGAAGGGAUCAGAGACGGGUGUAUAGAGGAGGUAGAGAAGGGAUCAGAGAAGGGUGUGUAGAGGAGGAAUAACGAGAGGAGGUAGAGAAGGGAUCAGAGAAGGGUGUGUAGAGGAGGAAUAAAGAGAGGAGGUAGAGAAGGGAUCAGAGACGGGUGUAUAGAGGAGGUAGAGAAGGGAUCAGAGAAGGGUGUGUAGAGGAGGAAUAAAGAGAGGAGGUAGAUAAAAUAUUAAAGAAGGGUGUGUGCAAUGGAGGGAUAAAGAGAGGAGGUAGAGAAGGGUGUGUAGAGGGAGGAAUAAAAAGAGGAGGUAGAGAGAUUAGAAAAGGGUGUGUUAAAUGUAAGAAUAGAGAGAAGAGAUGAAGAGAGGGUAGAAAUUGGUGUAUAAAAAGGUCGCAGUUUCAGAGAGGAGUGUAUUAAAGAGAGGAAUAAAAAAAGGAGGUAGAGAGAAGAUUAAAGAGAGUGUGUAAAAUGUAGGGAUAAAAGAGGUGAGGUGAGGAUAGAAAUUAGCACUUAAAACAGUCGCAGUUACUCCCCUCUGUUUGGUUCUUAGGUUGGUAUCUCAGACGCUUCCGCCUCUCACACCAACUACCUCCAAAGGCCAAAAAGGAGAUGAAUCGGGUCCUCAUUAGUGUAAUUUUAAGGUUCAUGGUACAGACGAAGAGCCAAACUGCCACCAGGGUCACAAAACUACCACUGGAAAUGGCCACAACUCCUACGCUUCCAUCCCUCACACCAUCUUUCCAAAGGCCAAAAAGGAGAUCAAUCGUGUCCUCAUGAGUGUAAUAUUUAGGUUCAUGGUACAGACGAAGAGCUAAACUACCAACAGGCCCACAAAACUACCACUGGAAAGGCCCACAGCUCCUAUGAAAGCCUUGUCAAAUGUGUAUGCUUGGGAGACGAAGUGUUUAACCCCUUGGAUGUGGAUUUCCUACAAGAAGACAUCACCAAGCUACAGGAGUGGAACAAAAAGUGGCUGCUCCAAUUUAGUGAAGAAAAAUGUGAAGUUAUGCAUCUUGGGAGGGGAAAUCCAGCAUACCAAUACCACAUGGGAAACACUCCACUUCCUACCAUAGAGGGACAGAAAGACCUCGGAGCAUAUGUUACCAGGCUACCAGUGAAGACGAAAUCAGCAUGCCAAUCGCAGCGGACGGGUUAAAAAUAUGUCCCUUGGUGGUACAUUCCCCCACUGAUAAACUCCCGCACGAGUGACAUCUUUCGGCACCCUUGUUUAAGCUGGCGUCUGUUUUUGUUUCUCCACCCGAAAUUGACCUCUCUUUCGGCCACUCAUCUGUACCCUCUUUUAUAUGGGCAGUGAUCAGCAGGCUUUUUUUUCCUCUCAGUUAUUUUCUUGCCCUUGAGCUGCUUCCUUUACUAUAAAAAAAAUCCGCCCCCCUAACAAGAAUAUUUACUUGUAUGGUGAAUGACGGAAUGGCUGGUGUUAUUAAAGUUUAGUAUUAUAUCGAUUUAUGCUCACAUUUAAUUUGUUUCUGCUUUAUUUUGUAUGUUUGUUUAUUUGAGUAUUUUCAGACAUGUAUUAGCCUCCCCUCUUCUAUAAUUUUCUGUAAUACGUUCUCUUUUACGCUUUCUAGUUUUGACUCCCUUGACAAAUCGUAAAUUUAUAUCAUUCCUCUUACUCGUUGUUUAUUCAUUUUGUUUGUUUACUUGUCUCUUUGAAGAUGU